This is a long non-coding RNA of Alligator mississippiensis (American alligator), 8119 nucleotides long. RefSeq lists it as uncharacterized. Lineage: Eukaryota; Metazoa; Chordata; Crocodylia; Alligatoridae. The transcript is spliced from 6 exons. The record is from RefSeq and is a predicted model, not a curated record.
UCUGCAUGCUCCGCCGGGCCCGCCCCUCCGCCGGCCCCGGGAGGAGGAGGAGGAGGAGAGAGGGGGUGCGAGGAGGCGGCCCUGCUGCGCCGCACGCCCUGCCUCCCGACAGCGGGAGGUGCAACCCCCCCCCAGCCAAAUUGGGGGGGGGGGGGGUGCCCGGCCGUGCCCGCGUGCAACACAUGGCAGCCCUGUCCCCCGGGCCCGUGGGGGGCAGCCGCAGGGCGUGCCCCCGCCAGUCCCCGUCUCCGAUCCCGAGCUGGAGCAUCCCCGCCUUCAGGGCAGGCCGGGCCGGGAGCCCGCGGGGUCACCUCUCCCGCCCCCAGGCUUUGCCCCGCCCAGGGGAGCGCCCGCACACCUUCCCGCGGGCUGGCCGGGCUCCGGCGCCCGGCUGGCAUCGCACCGCUUCCCCCGCCCGUCUCGGGCCCCUCCACCCCGCUGCUUUCCCCACUCGCUGCAUCCCCCUCACACCAUUUAGUUAACCAAAUGUGGAAGUGCGGGCCGCUGGCAGGAGGAGGCUUUGCGAGAUGCCCCAGAGCAGCACAAUGAAAGGGGGGAAAAUAGGUUCCCUCGGAGUCUGCUGCACAGGGACGGGAAGGGGAGAGGUGUAAAUUGGCUGGGCUGCCCGUUGUUAAUCAGUUACCCAGUGCUACUUAUGCAGACAGGCGUAUCGGCGUAGCUGUGUUGGUCCGGCUCUUUGGGUACAUCCGAGAUCUUUUAUUAGGUCUAAUAGAUCUCGGCUGUACCCAAAGAACUAAUGCAGAGAUACACCGGGAGAGGCGGCUGCCAUGCUCUCGCGCUCUCUCCAGAGGUGUGCUUCCCUGGGAAGCGGAGGGUCUGGGCAUCACCUGCCCGGGUGGACAUCUGGAAGCAUGUUGAGUUUUUGGCUUUUAGGUUGUUGGAAGUCACCUGGGCUUCCCCCCCUUCUUCUCUGCUCACCCCCAUCUCCAUCCCUCCCACGCACGGCUCAGAAGCGGUCUGGCCAGCAGACACAGUGGAUUAAUGCCUCUCCAGCUCUAUCAGCUGGCCUCUGGGAGAUGCAAUCCUCGAAAAAAGGGAGGUGAGGGGGAGGAGGUUAACCCCAACAGGUAUUUCUUGUCAUGAAAUCUCGAGUUCCCAGUUCGCGAUAAGGAAGUGAUAAACAACAGCUAAACUCAAUGCAACAGAUUACAGGACAGACGCUCGCUCCCCUACGUGAUGAUUAAUGCACAUACAUUAAAUAAAACUAGAAAAAUGUUUUUUAAAAACCCCACAAGAGCUUAACAUAGCGCACUUUCAUAUUGCCAGAGUUAUAUAGAAUAAUCGAUCUCAGGCGAUUGCAUCUGAAUAGUACAUUUCUCUCUUUGGCAAACCGACCUUUAAGGAUCUGCAUUUGGGGGGCUCUGUUUUAGCGCAGCUGCAGCAGCUGCAGAGUUCCCAAUGCAAAAUUAAUUAUAACCUUAUAAAUGCAUACAUGAAUCUCUCUAAAUCAAACAGCACUCCCUGAGAAAUAGAGCAGACCCUCCGCCUUUUUAUUUGGGAAGACACGUCUCUCUUCUUUCCAGCGGGGGUGACAAGGAUCUCGUCUUGUCCACUGCAAGGAGGGAACUUGCUUCUCAUUGCAAUAAAAACAUUACUGAUUGGACUUAGCAGAACUGGGAGAACGAAAAGCUGCUGAGGUCAUUUCAAUACAACGUGUAAAGUCUCUGUGAUAAGACCUCCCUGAAAUGUGUGCCCAUAUUGCUUUCUGAAAAUGACCGGGGUACGGAUUAUAUUGAACUUUCCCCCGGUUUAUGCUCUCUUUUGCCCUGAUUACUUUAGCUUGUCAUCCAUGGGGCUUCUGAGCUGAAAGCCCCUCUUCCAAGAGUCCUGUUUGUGACUAAUAAAAGCCGUCUAUCUUGCACUAUUAAGCAGUAGAAUAGCACGACGUGCAUUUUUUAUUGGUAAUAACUGUAGCGAAUUAAAAUGCCUACACGGAGACAUUAAAACCUACACGCUGCCUUUUGAUUUGAAUAUCUAUUCAUUGUUUCAGUAUUUGCACGCCUGGCUGUUUAGCGACGGCCGCAUUUUCCUCUUGUAAUUUAAAGUUUCCUGGAGGGGUAAUUAAUAAACAGUUAACAGAGAAGGGUCCUUUCCCGGUUCUCUUUCUCCUUAAGGAUUUGGGGGAGACCUGCGUGUUUGGGGGUUUUGUUUUUUUGGUGGUUGAUCGUUUGUUAAGUGCAACCUCCGCCUGCUCACACCAAAGCCACUUCCGAGGCUGAAGUUUGAAGGCGAUCAAAGUUGGUCUCUGGGAAUAGUGUCCUCCCUAAUAUAAGGCAAACACGAGCUGUUUGCUCUGUGUAAUAACUGGCGGUGUGUGUUUAUGCACAGACGUGUGUGUUCCGGGGGUGUUUGCUUUGGGACCCGAUCCUGCUGUCUUGAAUCAGGUUGAAAUUCCAGCUUUGCCAUACCCAGGACUGCAAGCCCCGGCCCAGAUCCACGCUCCCGGGUGCAGAGGAGUGGAUGGUCGCGCAGGAACUUGUGGACGCAGCGCCCUGGGACCUGCGGCCCCGCACCCUGCACCUGGAUCGGCUCUUGCGGGGCUGCGGAGAGCUUCCCCCUCUCUCAUUUGAUGCGAGGAUCGCGACCAUCCCCUGCAUUUAACAGCAUGAGAUAAUGGGCUGCUGUAUUACAAAAAAAAGAGCCAUGAUACAGGCAAGCAGGUCGAGGGGAGAUGCUGGGUUUCCUAGGAAGACAGGAUGGCUUUCCGAGGCCGCUUGAGUGCGUGUGGCAGAAAGGGAGAGGCUGGGAGAGCCUUUCUGUAGAGUCUGCUCAUAGAGGAAACGUGGAAGGGCUGGGGAAAGGCAGGCAGGGGGGCAAAGAGGAGAAAGCACCCCCCCAUCUCUAGGAUCAGAUCUCUAGUUCAGGCUGCGCGUGGGAGAGGGCGCUGUGGCAAUGGCUUUGCCCCGCGCUCCGGCGCAGACACAGCGUGAUUGUUUGUGGAAGCUGCUUCCCCUGGGUCCCUGCUCGGAUUUCACUCCCUGCUUUCCCUUCACCACCUUAUCUAAUUGCGGGCCCACGCCGCAGGCAGCAGAGAGGGGAUCCUCGCAGGGGUGAGGCUCGCUCCCCUUCUCCUGGUCUCAGCCUCACUUCUCUUUUCAGCUGGGCAGCAGCGGGCAUAAAAGCACGAGAGGUUGCUGUGCCCCCUCUUUUCCUCUGAGACACCCAACUUUCUGAGAACACUAGAUCUCAGUCUGGCAGCUGGGAUGAUUUAGCUGGAGCUGGUUCUGCUUUGAGCAGGAGGUUGGGCUAGGUGACCUCCUGAGGUUCCUUCCAACCUGAAUUUUCCAGGACCCCACUUCUCUUUCCAGACCUGAAAUGCACACUGGGUCUGAAGCUGGUUUCUCGUGCAGGGUCCAGUCAUCUUCAAAGCCACAGGAAGAGUGGCAGUAAAAAAAAAAAAUCAAAAAAAAAAAAUCCCCCCACGUGCUCGUUUAGAGAGAGACUUUUCUCUCCUCUUCUUGAGGAUCUCCCCCUUCCCCUGUGCCGUGCCAUAUAUAGAGCAGCUAGAGGAGGAAGAGAACCUGCUUUUUGUUGUUGUGUGGUUUUUUUGGUUUCUUUAAAAGAAAAAAGGAUAGUUUCUCUGCAACUGUUCUUAGCUAUUUUUAGUGGCACACAACAGGCAUUGCUAGCAGUAGCCGGACAAAAGAGCUCAAAGCGUUUAGAUGAGCCCUUAUUGUCGCCUGGAAAGGAGGCAAGAUUAUUUAGAGAAAGAAAGAAGCAGCGGGCAAGCCACAGGUAGGAUGUUUCCUUCUAUUAAAAUAAAAGCAGACUGAAGUCGAGCAGAUUUCUUACUUUUGUUACGCUGACUUUUUAAAAGGCGGGGGGAUCUCUCGGGGAAACCCAGCAUCGGACUCAAUCUCAUCAGAUCCCGGCUUGUCUCCUGCCACCCAGCCGAGCACGGAGCCUGUGUGUCAGGCGUGUGCCCGCAGCACACUGAGCCUCUCCCCCUCCUCCCAAAGCAGCAGCUCAGCAAAAGAAACCAAACCAGCCUCCCCCCCGCUAGCCCAAAAGCACCUGAUGGGUUUAAGUGUGGCCAAAGCUUCAAUCGGGACUGUCGGGGGGGGAUUAGAUCAAGCAUUGAAGGUUCUUGUGUCUGCUGCUUGUAGUACUUAGGAUGCAGAGGAGUGCAGCAUUGGUGUCUUUUCCCCCCUCUUUUUUCUACUCUCAGGAAUAUGCGGGAAUGGCUGAAGUCCUUUCUUUCUGGAUAUUACCAGAGUACUUAUCAGUGAGAGUAGAAUGCUUGCUUCUCUCUCCCAGCUUUUCAACUGUUAUAUGAAGUCCCUGGGGAGAAAUCUCUUCCUCCAGUUGUCCACUGAGGAACUUGAUGAGGCAAAAGAGAGAGGAAUCUUUUCCUUCUUUCUCCAGAUGAGUCAGUCUCCUCCUUCUGCUCUUGCUCUAUUUUGAUGCACCGAAGAGACAUCUGGUACUUGAUGAGUAAGUUGUGUAUCCUGAGGGUAUGUAUGUAUGCAAUUUCAUUAAUUGUGACAUUUAUAGUUUUUGCAUUUUUAAAAAUUUGUUUUCCUUUUAUUGAGCUACAGUGACUUUAACAUUUGUGGCUGCUUACAGAUGUAAAAAAACCCAACCCCAAACAGUGCUUUACUUUAAACUCUGUGUGCCCCCACAUCAAGCCCAGCACGUGCCCAGAAGAUGUUAUGCAUUUGUUGGACCCGGCUCACCCAACCUCUGUAUAGAUCGGGUGCUUUAAGGGGGCUUUUUGCCGCUUUUUUCUAAUAGCUGAUUUAAUUAGCUAUUAGAUAAAAGCAGCCAAAAAAUCCCACCAAAGUGCCAGAUCUAUACAGAUGCUGCAGAGCUGGGUCCAACUAAUGCGCUGCUUCUCCCAGUAAAGCACAUUUUUUGUUGUUUUUUUUUUCUCAUGUCUGUCUAUAGUGUUUCUUUUAUAGGUGUGUAGAUAUGCCACUUCAUAAACUCUGUGAUCCAGAUGUGGAGAGAGUCCAACUGAGGGCAAUGAAAAUGGUUAGGGGGCUGGGGCACAUGAGCAGAGGUUGAGGAUACUGGGCAUAUAUUAAGCUGCAGAAGAGCAGACCAAGAGGGGAUUUGAUAGCAGUCUUUAACUACCUGAAGAGGGGUCCCAAAGUGGUUGGAGCCAGACUGUUCUGGGUGGUGGCAGAUGACAGUACAAGAAGCAAUGGUCUCAAGUUGCAGCAAGGGAAGUUGAGAUUAGAUAUUAGGAAAAACUUUCUUGUGAAAAGGGUAGUAAAGCACUGGAACAGGUUACCCAAGGAGGUUGUGGAAUCUUAUCCUUGGAGAUUUUUAAGACCUGGGUAGAGAAAGCCUUGGCUGGAAUGAUCUAGUUGGGGAUGGUCCUGCUUUGAGCAGGUGGUUGGACUAGAUGCCCUCCUGAGGUCCCUUCCAACUUUAGUUUUUAUGUUUCUAUGUGGAACUUAGCCUCUGAAGCUGAAAUUUGCUUAUGCUAUGUACCCAUGAGACAAAUAGCAGUACUUGUUAUACAGUACCCUAAAUACUUCUAUUUUUGCUGUUUUUCUAUACUUAAAGUUUAAUUAGGGAUUUUAGUCUGCAGCUGGUUAUGAGAAUGGGCUGGGAUGACACUUAUAUCUAAAUGAGUAAUUAAUGAUUUUUGUUUUCAUCUGUCAACAGAUUUUCUUUACCUUUAUGUGAGUGGACUGGACACAUAAGUGUGAUUCUGUUCUACCCCAUUCAUGUCUCUGAAAAACAGCUAAUGCAAAAGGUGGAUGAGUCCUUCUCCUUCUCACUGUUUUUUUGUGACAUAGUUUUAGGGAUGAAGAUAUGGUGGAUUACAAAACCAGGUGCAUUGAUGUUUUUUUCAGGGACUUGGAUAGGUGGAAUAGGAUCAUACAUAGGCACCUAAGUAAGUGCACAAUGAGUUACACAAAAAAUCUGUUAAUUAAAGUAAAUGUAUAAAAAUAAAAAUCCUUAGUUCCCAAUUUAAAUGUAAGGACAAUCAGUCCUUCUUUAUAACCCACCUCUUGCUGGCUAAACUACUGGUCUUCAGACUUGUAAGAUUAUGCAAGGCAACAUCUUAAUACAUUUAAAAUCUGGUACUUGGGUCUUUGCCUGUACCUGGAAACAAGAUCAUAUUAGCACAUUAACAUUGAACCAAACAAUGAUCAGUAUUCAUUUAGCUAAUCAUGACUAAUCCCUGCUCCAAUUAGGCCUUGGCUGAUAUGUGCUUCAGUCUGUUGUUUUGAACUAGUUAACACAUGAGCAAUUCAGUAUGUCCACAUCAGGAACGGCUGAGUCAUAAACCAGUUUUCUCAAACUGAUUCAGCAACCACUGGCAGCAAUAUAAGGAGUAGAUCUAUCAGCUCUGCCCCACUGCUCCCUCUGGCUUCUAUUAUUUGCUGUUUGAGAGCCUUGUGUACAACACAUUCCCACUAAACCAAGUAUCAGCACAGGAAAAAAAAUCCCUGCCUAUUCACUCCAACUCCCUCACCACCCGGGUUACAGUACUGAAACUCACAAUAUACAUAACUGAGAUUGUCCAGAAAAAAGCAGAAAAGAUCAAACCUGACAUUUCUCUAGUUAAAUUGAGCAGAUAUUUCAUAAGCUUUUAAAUAAGUUUUCUGGUCUCCUUCAUAGAUCAGAAAAGCCAUAAAAAAUGACAGAAACACAUGUUUUUUAAAUUAAGGAGACUUGUCUUUCUCAAAGAAAAUAAGAAUGUGGACAUAUCCCACUGAAAAUCAGUGGGCUUUGAAUCAGACCCAGACCAGAGGGCUUGGCUGAUCUGGAAAAGUGAAAACUUUAACCCAAGGGAGCUUUCUUUUAGAAAUGGAAGGCUAGCAGAGCCCUCAGGAGGUCACAUCAGCAGUGUUACAAGGGGUGGGGGGAGAAAGGGAUGCUAGUCUCAGCAUUUAGAAGGGGCACCAAAAUCAUGUCCCACUCCUGUGGAGCCUGCAUCCGCAGCUCCACAACUCUGCUCUUGCAGCAGCAGCCAGCGCACAGACACUGGUGUGGGCAGAGCCAGGGUGGGCAGAGCACAGUGGUGGCAGCAACAGCAAGAGCAUCUGGGAUCGGGUAAGACUCCCACUCCCUGAUCCCCACAGCUCUCCCACAGGAUUUCCUCGGGCACAAACUUUGCUUGUUUAUGCCAUUGUGUCACAACAGAGGUGUAACAACCAGGGGCUGAGACCUGGGCAGUAGCAGGGGCUGGGCCAGUGGAAGAGGUGGCUGGGCCAGCAGUCUCAGCGACUGCCAUUCUUGUGCCUCCAAGUGGGCACCCAGGGCUGGUGCCAUGGUUAUGCUAUUGUGUCCAGGCCAACCCCCUGCUCAAGGCAGGAUCAGCCCUGUCUAAAGCAUACCAGCAAAGGGUUUGUCUAAUCUGUACUUAAAGAUUCCCAGUGAUAGAGAUUUCACUUAAAAAAAAUAUGAGGCUAGUGUCACGGUUAGUAGGAUUCAUAGCUCAUAUCUUUUGAAAUCAGUUUAUAUCAGUUGAGGACUGGGCACAUGCCCUUUUGUAUUAUUUGUGUGGAGAUCAGCUCUGUUUCAGUCAAUCUGUCAACCUGGUUUACUAAGAAGAACCUGAAAGGACAGACACAAGAAUGAAAAGAAAAACAAAGCAGUCCAGAGUUACAAAUAUAUGCUUGAUAUGCUUUGUUUUCAUUUUUGUUCUUGAUGGCUCUGUGUUUUGGGAGUACUUUUUUGAUUGUGACAAAUAUUAAGUGUUUUUGUCCCAUUUCUGCUCCACUUUGGGAACACAUACAAAAGUGGCAUUUCACUCUGAAUAUCUUCUUAUUAGUAAAGCUGGGUAAAACAUUUUCAACUGAAACUUUUUUUCAGCAAAAAUACAUAUUUGAGGAUGCUAUAACUUUUCAUGGAUCUGUGUCAAUUUUGCCAAAUAGUCACUUAAAAAACCCUUUGUAAAAUUAUGGGAAAUCUAAAUAUUGUGUUUUAACACUUUAAAAAUGAAAUAUUUCAAUAUCUCUGUUUGAAGUCACUUUUCAUAUUGAAAGUUCCUUUAGUUUAAUUAAAACAUAUGUUUUAAUUGCUUGAAAUCAAAAUAAUAUUAUGUUUUGGGUCAAACAAAAUCUCCUAUGUAAUUGGAAAUUAUGUAUCUUGACUUUUCAAUUUGCUAACAUUAAAAAGAAAUAUUUUUAAAGCA